RNAcentral lists this small nucleolar RNA (49 nucleotides) under Pyrobaculum calidifontis JCM 11548. RNAcentral's name for it is "PCAsR15". The record is from RNAcentral. Lineage: Archaea; Thermoproteati; Thermoproteota; Thermoprotei; Thermoproteales; Thermoproteaceae.
GUGAUGAGCCUCACGGUAGGCGAUGGAUGUGCGAAACGCCCUUCACUGA